CAGUCGCCGCGGUAAUACGGAGGGGGCUAGCGUUGUUCGGAAUUACUGGGCGUAAAGCGCACGUAGGCGGCUUGGUAAGUUAGAGGUGAAAGCCUGGAGCUCAACUCCAGAAUUGCCCUUAAGACUGCCGAGCUAGCAGGUGAGAGAGGUAAGUGGAAUUCCGAGUGUAGAGGUGAAAUUCGUAGAUAUUCGGAAGAACACCAGUGGCGAAGGCGGCUUACUGGCUCAUACUGGACGCUGAGGUGCGAAAGCGUGGGGAGCAAACAGGAUUAGAUACCCGCGUAGUCCCUGUCUCUUAUAC
Molecule: ribosomal RNA, 301 nt
Filed under: uncultured bacterium
Lineage: Bacteria
Description: partial 16S ribosomal RNA
Rfam family: Bacterial small subunit ribosomal RNA
Source: RNAcentral